GAUGAAGAACGUAGCGAAAUGCGAUAAGUAAUGUGAAUUGCAGAAUUCAGUGAAUCAUCGAAUCUUUGAACGCACAUUGCGCCCGCCAGUAUUCUGGCGGGCAUGCCUGUCCGAGCGUCAUUUCAACCAUCAAGCCCCCGGGCUUGUGUUGGGGACCUGCGGCUGCCCGCAGGCCCUGAAAACCAGUGGCGGGCUCGCUGUCACACCAAGCGUAGUAGCAAUCACCUCGCUCAGGGCGUGCUGCGGGUUCCGGCCGUUAAACAGCCUUACAAAACCCAAGGUUGACCUCGGAUCAGGUAGGAAGACCCGCUGAACUUAAGCAUAUCAAUAAGCGGAGGA
This 339-nucleotide unclassified non-coding RNA is filed under the name soil metagenome. RNAcentral's name for it is "partial contains 5.8S ribosomal RNA, internal transcribed spacer 2, and large subunit ribosomal RNA". The stretch from base 1 to 120 matches the Rfam family "5.8S ribosomal RNA", at positions 35 to 154 of the family's 154-position model. The record is from RNAcentral.